GAUGAACGCUGACGGCGUGCCUAACACAUGCAAGUCGAGCGGAGAUAAAGAGGGAUUCUUUUAGAUGAACUCCUUAUCUUAGCGGCGGAUGGGUGAGUAACACGUGGGUAACCUGCCCUGCACAGGGGGAUAACAGCUGGAAACGGCUGUUAAUACCGCAUAUGCACACGCUGCCGCAUGGCAGGGGGUGGAAAGAUUUAUCGGUGCAGGAUGGGCCCGCGUCGGAUUAACUAGUUGGCAGGGUAACGGCCUACCAAGGUGAUGAUCCGUAGCCGACCUGAGAGGGUGACCGGCCACAUUGGGUCUGAGACACGGCCCAAACUCCUACGGGAGGCAGCAGUGGGGGAUAUUGCACAAUGGGCGCAAGCCUGAUGCAGCGACGCCGCGUGAAGGAAGAAGUAUUUCGGUAUGUAAACUUCUAUCAGCGGGGAAGAAGAUGACGGUACCCGACUAAGAAGCCCCGGCUAACUACGUGCCAGCAGCCGCGGUAAGAC
RNAcentral lists this ribosomal RNA (494 nucleotides) under uncultured bacterium. RNAcentral describes it as "bacterial SSU rRNA". It matches the Rfam family "Bacterial small subunit ribosomal RNA", at positions 28 to 526 of the family's 1533-position model. The record is from RNAcentral.